Molecule: non-coding RNA, 566 nt
Organism: Paramuricea clavata
Lineage: Eukaryota; Metazoa; Cnidaria; Anthozoa; Malacalcyonacea; Plexauridae
Source: the annotation of a GenBank genome assembly
CAUAUUACUAGAACACAUUGGUAUUGAAGGAACUAGAUACUGUUCCGAAAUAUCACUUACUCGAACCGUCCUGACCGCGUAGCUCAGUUGGAAAAGCAUUGGGCUAGUAUUCCAAAGGUCGUAGGUUCGAAUCCCACCGUGGCCGGGCAUAUUUUUCAAGCUCGCCCGGUGUGGAUAUGCACUCAGAGUAACAUCGCAAACAUAUUAUUCACCUGAGUACACAACACCAACACAGAAAAAAAUCAUAUUACUAGAACACAUUGGUAUUGAAGGAACUAGAUACUGUUCCGAAAUAUCACUUACUCGAACCGUCCUGACCGCAUAGCUCAGUUGGAAGAGCAUUGGGCUAGUAUUCCAAAGGUCGUAGGUUCGAAUCCCACCGUGGCCGGGCAUAUUUUUCAAGCUUGCCCGGUGUGGAUAUGCACUCAGAGUAACAUCGCAAACAUAUUUUUUUCCUCUUUUCUAUGUGUGCAAACAAUUUAUUUGCACUUUUUUGUCUUUGCAAACAAUUUUUUUAAGAAUUUUUCAUCCCCCCCCCCUCCAAAAAAAUAAUGGUCCGUCCCUUA